This 263-nucleotide unclassified non-coding RNA is filed under the name Hevea brasiliensis (rubber tree). The record is from RNAcentral. Lineage: Eukaryota; Viridiplantae; Streptophyta; Magnoliopsida; Malpighiales; Euphorbiaceae.
CGACAAGAGAAUUGUUGACUGGCUCGCCGCAAAUUUCAAAAGGGAUGAAGGUAUUGAUUUGCUGAAAGACAAACAGGCUCUUCAGCGGCUAACUGAGACAGCUGAGAAAGCGAAAAUGGAGCUGUCAUCUUUGACCCAGGCCAACAUUAGUUUGCCUUUCAUCACUGCCACGGCAGAUGGCCCUAAGCACAUUGAGACCACACUUACCAGGGCCAAGUUUGAGGAAUUGUGCUCAGAUCUUCUUGAUAGGCUUAAGACUCCAG